UACGGAGGGGGCGAGCGUUGUCCGAAGUUACUGGGCGUAAAGGGCGCGUAGGCGGGUUGGUAAGUCAGACGUGAAAUCCCGGGGCUCAACUCCGGGCCUGCGUUUGAAACUGCCAGCCUAGAGUGCAGGAGAGGAAAGCGGAAUUCCUGGUGUAGAGGUGAAAUUCGUAGAUAUCAGGAGGAACACCAGUGGCGAAGGCGGCUUUCUGGGCCGAUACUGACGCUGAGGAGCGAAAGCGUGGGGAGCGAACAGG
RNAcentral lists this ribosomal RNA (253 nucleotides) under uncultured bacterium. RNAcentral describes it as "partial 16S ribosomal RNA". It matches the Rfam family "Bacterial small subunit ribosomal RNA", at positions 524 to 776 of the family's 1533-position model. The record is from RNAcentral.